Molecule: long non-coding RNA, 444 nt
Filed under: Nicotiana benthamiana
Lineage: Eukaryota; Viridiplantae; Streptophyta; Magnoliopsida; Solanales; Solanaceae
Description: long non-coding RNA (NBEN_LNC033948)
Source: RNAcentral
AGAAAAGAUUGAUGGAUCCAAGAAUCCGGCUGAUAUGUUUACCAAGGUAGUGGGCAGAGAGAAGCAUGUUUUCUGUACUACUUGGGGUUUCUCCAAUGAACUAAGAAGGAGAAACACAGAGGCAGAUGCUGAAGCACUAGUUACUGAGAUUGUCUUCGAGAGGAAGAUUGUGAAGUGUGAAGACUAUAUUCACAAGUCGAGCUUGGUGAGCUAUAUUCUUCAAGUGGGAGAUUGUUAGUCAAAAAACAUGGUAGGCACCGGCCAGCUGAAAAAGGAGGAUGGUAGGCAUGGUAGGCACCGGCCAAUUGAUUGUCAAAAAUUGGUUGGUGGCCACCGAUUGUGUCCACAUUUGUGUGUAUUCUCAUUUGCACAUUGAUGGCUUUCCUCUCCUAUAAAUACUUGUGAGUAGCAAGCAAAGAAGAUCACACCACAAGAAGCUAAACA